GUUCAUCCUUCGGUCGCUCGGUCGCAGUCGCACCGCCGUCAACGACAACAACAUCCGCGCGAGGAUCACGCCCGUCCCUCCUUCCUCCGAUCCGAUCUCACCAGAGCGAGAUGGGUGGACGCGGAGGUCGCGGAGGUCCCGGGGGCCGGGGCGGCGGCCGGGCGGCAGGGGCAACGCCGCUGGCCAGGGAGGGCCAGUGGCAGCUCCCGUCAUCUACUGGUUCUGCGAGCACUGCGGGGAUCUGCGCCAUGACAAUCAAGCACGUCACCUCGUGAACCACAUCUACAUGGAACACCAGGAAACCCAGCAGCGCCUCCGCCAGCUGCAGGCGCGUGAGGCGUAUCAGCGAGCCCAUGGUGGCUCGAAGAAGAGGGGCAACCGCCGCCGCCACUGAAUGAAGGUAGAAGACUAAGUAACACUACUGAAGUCACCUGCGCAAAUCUUCCAGCAUUAUCAAUCUUAUUUCCGCAUUUUCUUUCUGCAAAUAAAUAGCUAUAUCAGACUCCCCUGCGGCAAGCUCUUGCAAGACCAAUGUUAUUUCUGUAAUUUUUCUUCUGUGCACAAAUAGUGAGACAAUAUGAGUUUAUAUCAGUGAGACUGAAUUACGAUGAGCGAGAUAAAGCAAAGUUGUUUGCUGCGAUUUGUGUUUGACUGCCUGUUUUGAACCUAUAGUAUGAUGAUGGAACCUGGUUAUGCUGAUUCUGUGUCGAGAUCAGGAAAGUGUUUUUCUAUGGCUUGUGUUUGAUUUAUGUUGAAUGACAGCAGCCUGUGAGAAAGGAUAAGAUGCCAACUGCAUGCUUUAAGUCACUAGGGGCUGGGUAAAUCUAGAAUAAUCCUGAUUGUCAGCUUGAUGCUAUCUAAAACAGCUAUGAUCCUUAGCUUGACAGAGGCUUCAGAAAGUUU
Molecule: ribosomal RNA, 903 nt
Filed under: Triticum aestivum (bread wheat)
Lineage: Eukaryota; Viridiplantae; Streptophyta; Magnoliopsida; Poales; Poaceae
Description: partial small subunit ribosomal RNA
Source: RNAcentral